CCGGCACAGAGGUGGCCUUGGUUCCUCACCAGAUGGUGUAGCCACCAUCUGAACCACCCAUGAAGAAGUUCCCCUUCCGCUGAGUUACGAGGACGUUGGCUCCCUGCAUGACUGCAAGCUGAGCAGCAUUGGGAGGGCAUCCAGGAGGUGGAGGAGGAAUGUUGCCAGCAGUAGCCCCAGCUCCAAAUCUGGCACCUGCAUCAUACCCUCCUUCCACCAGCACUGUGGAGCCAGGUGGAUAGAUGGGACCGACUGGAUAAUAAGCCAUGGGGAUUGUGGAACCUAAAGGCCCAACAGCCACAGACUGGGCCAUGGGAAGAUACAGAGAGGCUCCAGGAAAUGCGGCUGACAUGGUGGGGACUGUGGCAGCCCCUGGGUGCACAAAGCUCGGACGAUAGAGCUAGAAGAGGCAGAAGAGAAGGCAAAAUGUUACUUUAUGACAUUCCUAUUUGAGAUCUCUUUAAUGAGCUAAUUCUUAAUUCUCCUUAUGCAGGUUAUACUUUUUGUAAGAUUAUACAAGUUGCCUUUCCACUGGCCUUCAAUAUUCUCCUGGAUCACUUUCUGCUAUAGCUAAUGUUGGGCUCACAGAACGCAAAUUCAUCUUCUGCACCUUAGCCUGUGCCAAAUAACACAAAAUCAUCAAAUAAUGCACUUUCAACUCCGACAAAAAUUGCCAAAUUAUAUAGUGUUUUAGAUUAUUCAUGUUAGCAUUUGUGAAGAGUAAAUAUGUGAAGUCAGAUUUAGCUAAGGACUAAAGGACCACCCUAAGAGUAUUCCCAGCUAGUUCAAAUCUGGCAAACUGGAAGCACCUCUGAGUAGGCAGGUGGAGCAUCGGUAUAGGGUGGAGCCUGAGGAAGAUGCAAGGUCUGAGGGUAUACUGGAUUCCCAGGAGGCUGCACAGGGUAGGUUGGCUGUGUUGGAUAUUGACCUGAAAGACAAGAAAAAAAUGAAGGUUGCCUACUACACAGAGCUACCAAAAUGAGGCAGGUCAUAUCGGGUAGCUAACUUAGUGGGAGCAAGCAGAAGGGGAUUUGCAAAUAGUCUGCCCCAGAGGGCCUGAUUCCUGGAACUAAGAAAAUAUGCAUUGUCUUUGCACCCUUAAAAUGGAAGGUGCUGGAUUCUAACGAGACAAGAAAGGCACUGCUCACUGCUCCUACUAACAUACCGAAGUAAGGGGUUAAGUCUACCUGGGCCCAAGUUCCCUCCGGAAUGCAGGACAGGUCUGGGGUUCUGGCCUGCUGCUGUUCUGGCUUAUCAAGGGUGCCUCUGCUCUAGGUAGUCUCCACAGCCUGUCUACAACCAGCCCAGACUUCGUGGGUAACAGCAGUUCUGAUUUUCCUUACAGAUUACUAUUCAAGGUCGACUUCCAAACAAAGGGUGUGAAUGAUGGAAGUGAACCGUGAGACUGGGAAAAGGGUGCAGGGCUGAGGGGUGAGGAGGAAUAUCCUCACUGGAAAAGCGGG
This 1463-nucleotide long non-coding RNA is filed under the name Homo sapiens (human). Its description in RNAcentral is "LNC_000920". The record is from RNAcentral. Lineage: Eukaryota; Metazoa; Chordata; Mammalia; Primates; Hominidae.